UACGUAGGGGGCGAGCGUUGUCCGGAGUUACUGGGCGUAAAGCGCUUGUAGGCGGUCUACCAAGUUUGGGGUGACAGUUGCCGACUUAAUCGGCAAAGUGCCUCAAAGACUGGCGGACUUGAGGGCCACAGAGGGACAUGGAACUCCAGGUGUAGUGGUGAAAUGCGUAGAUAUCUGGAAGAACACCAAAGGCGAAGGCAGUGUCCUGGGUGGUCGCUGACGCUGAGAGGCGAAAGCCAGGGGAGCGAACGGG
RNAcentral lists this ribosomal RNA (253 nucleotides) under uncultured bacterium. RNAcentral's name for it is "partial 16S ribosomal RNA". It matches the Rfam family "Bacterial small subunit ribosomal RNA", at positions 524 to 776 of the family's 1533-position model. The record is from RNAcentral.